Molecule: long non-coding RNA, 2671 nt
Organism: Lagopus muta (rock ptarmigan)
Lineage: Eukaryota; Metazoa; Chordata; Aves; Galliformes; Phasianidae
Exons: 3
Source: RefSeq, a predicted model, not a curated record
GGGAGGGUCCUGAAAGGUCACAGAGCCAUAGAAGGGGCUGGGAGAGCCCUUGAAGGUCAUAGAGGUAGAGAAGGGGUUGAGAGGGUCCUUGAAGGACACAGAGGUAGAGAAGGGGUUGAGAGGGUCCUUGAAGGACACAGAGGUAGAGAAGAGUUGGGUUGGGAGGGUCCUGAAAGGUCACAGAGCCAUAGAAGGGGCUGGGAGAGCCCUUGAAGGUCAUAGAGGUAGAGAAGGGGUUGAGAGGGUCCUUGAAGGACACAGAGGUAGAGAAGGGGUUGAGAGGGUCCUUGAAGGACACAGAGGCAUGGAAAACUUGGGUUGGGAGGGUCCUGAAAGGUCACAGAGCCAUAGAAUGGGUUGAGAGGGUCCUUGAAGGACACAGAGGUAGAGAAGGGGCUGAGAGGGUCCUUGAAGGACACAGAGGUAGAGAAGGGGUUGCGAGGGUCCUUGAAGGACACAGAGGCAUGGAAGAGUUGGGUUGGGAGGGUCUUGAAAGUUCACAGAGCCAUAGAAUGGCUUGAGAGGGUCCUUGAAGGACACAGAGGUAGAGAAGGGGUUGAGAGGGUCCUUGAAGGACACAGAGGUAGAGAAGGGGUUGCGAGGGUCCUUGAAGGACAGAGAGGCAUGGAAGAGUUGGGUUGGGAGGGUCCUGAAAGGUCACAGAGCCAUAGAAGGGGCUGGGAGAGCCCUUGAAGGUCAUAGAGGUUGAGAAGGGGUUGAGAGGGUCCUUGAAGGACAGAGAGGCAUGGAAGAGUUGGGUUGGGAGGGUCCUGAAAGGUCACAGAGCCAUAGAAGGGGCUGGGAGAGCCCUUGAAGGUCAUAGAGGUAGAGAAGGGGUUGAGAGGGUCCUUGAAGGACACAGAGGCAUGGAAGAGUUGGGUUGGGAGGGUCCUGAAAGUUCACAGAGCCAUAGAAGGGGUUGAGAGAGUCCUUGAAGGACACAGAGGUAGAGAAGAGGUUGAGAGGGUCCUUGAAGGACACAGAGGUAGAGAAGGGGUUGAGAGGGUCCUUGAAGGACACAGAGGUAGAGAAGGGGUUGAGAGGGUCCUUGAAGGACACAGAGGUAGAGAAGGGGUUGAGAGGGUCCUUGAAGAACACAGAGGCAUGGAAGAGUUGGGUUGGGAGGGUCCUGAAAGUUCACAGAGCCAUAGAAGGGGUUGAGAGGGUCCUUGAAGGACACAGAGGUAGAGACGAGGUUGAGAGGGUCCUUGAAGGUCAUAGAGGUAGAGAAGGGGUUGAGAGGGUCCUUGAAGGACAGAGAGGCAUGGAAGAGUUGGGUUGGGAGGGUCCUGAAUGUUCACAGAGCCAUAGAAGGGGUUGGGAGAGCACUUGAAGGUCAUAGAGGUAGAGAAGGGGUUGCGAGGGUCCUUGAAGGACACAGAGGCAUGGAAGAGUUGGGUUGGGAGGGUCCUGAAAGGUCACAGAGCCAUAGAAGGGGCUGGGAGAGCCCUUGAAGGUCAUAGAGGUAGAGAAGGGGUUGAGAGGGUCCUUGAAGGACACAGAGGCAUGGAAGAGUUGGGUUGGGAGGGUCCUGAAAGUACACAGAGCCAUAGAAUGGGCUGGGAGACCCCUUGAAGGUCACAGAGGUAGAGAAGGGGUUGUGAGGGUCCUUGAACGACACAGAGGUAGAGAAGCGGUUGAGAAGGUCCUUGAACGACACAGAGGCAUGGAAGAGUUGGGUUGGGAGGGUCCUGAAAGUUCACAGAGCCACAGAAUGGGUUGAGAGGGUCCUUGAAGGACACAGAGGCAUGGAAGAGUUGGGUUGGGAGGGUCCUGAAAGUACACAGAGCCAUAGAAGGGGUUGGGAGAGCCCUUGAAGGUCAUAGAGGUAGAGAAGGGGUUGCGAGGGUCCUUGAACGACACAAAGGCAUGGAAGAGUUGGGUUGGGAGGGUCCUGAAUGUUCACAGAGCCAUAGAAGGGGUUGGGAGAGCACUUGAAGGUCAUAGAGGUAGAGAAGGGGUUGCGAGGGUCCUUGAAGGACACAGAGGCAUGGAAGAGUUGGGUUGGGAGGGUCCUGAAAGGUCACAGAGCCAUAGAAGGGGCUGGGAGAGCCCUUGAAGGUCAUAGAGGUAGAGAAGGGGUUGAGAGGGUCCUUGAAGGACACAGAGGCAUGGAAGAGUUGGGUUGGGAGGGUCCUGAAAGUACACAGAGCCAUAGAAUGGGCUGGGAGACCCCUUGAAGGUCACAGAGGUAGAGACGAGGUUGAGAGGGUCCUUGAAGGUCAUAGAGGUAGAGAAGGGGUUGCGAGGGUCCUUGAAGGACACAGAGCAAUAAAAAAGGCAGUGCUAGAAGGGUCGCUGAAGAUCAAACAAGCAUGGAAUUAGAGUAUGACUUGGGUUGGAAGGGUCCUUAAAGAUGACAAAGCCAUAGAAUGAGUUGGGUUGGGAAGGUCCUUAAAGGUCACAGAAUCAUGGAGUGACUGGGUUGGAAGGGUCAUUAAAGAUCAAAAAAGCAUGGAGUUACAGCAUGACCUGGGUUGGAAGCAUCCUUGCAGAUCAGAGACCCACAGGAUGGGUUGGGUUGGGUUGGAAAGAAUCCCUCAGCCCAAUCCCUGCCGUGGGGUGGCUGCCCCCCGGCUCAGGCUGCCCAGGACCCCACCCCACAGCCUCCAGGGUUGGGGCACCCACAGCUCCGGGCAGCAGUGCUGGGGCUGCACCACCUCUGGGUGAA